UCUAUCUACCAUGCUCCCUCGCGGGUCCCACAAUUCCCAGCACAGGAUACUGAUACACUGAUUUUGCUGGGAAUUGUGGGAACCACGAGGGAGCAUGGUAGACAU
This 105-nucleotide microRNA precursor is filed under the name Pelobates cultripes (western spadefoot toad). The record is from RNAcentral. Lineage: Eukaryota; Metazoa; Chordata; Amphibia; Anura; Pelobatidae.